CAGUCGCCGCGGUAAUACGAAGGGGGCUAGCGUUGCUCGGAAUUGCUGGGCGUAAAGCGCACGUAGGCGGACCGAUAAGUCGGGGGUGAAAUCCUGGAGCUCAACUCCAGAACUGCCUUCGAAACUGCUGAACUAGAGGCUUGGAGGGGGAAGCGGAAUUCUUGGUGUAGCGGUGAAAUGCGUAGAUAUCAAGAGGAACACCGGUGGCGAAGGCGGCUUCCUGGACAAGUCCUGACUCUGAAACACGAAAGCUAGGGGAGCGAAUGGGAUUAGAUACCCCGGUAGUCCCUGUCUCUUAUAC
Molecule: ribosomal RNA, 301 nt
Filed under: uncultured bacterium
Lineage: Bacteria
Description: partial 16S ribosomal RNA
Rfam family: Bacterial small subunit ribosomal RNA
Source: RNAcentral